UAUAAGCAUGGGGCAUAUGUAUACUAAAAAUUGUCUCCCGAUUAUCUGAAAUUCAAAUUUACUAGGUGUCCUGUGGCUCAACUGGUAAAGAAUCCACCUGCAAUGCAGGAGACCUGGGUUCAAUCCCUGGGUUGAGAAGAUCCCCUGCAGAAGGGAAAGGCUACCCACUCCAGUAUUCUGGCUUGGAGAAUCCCAUUGUACUGUAUAGUCCAUGAGGUCUCAAAGAGUUGGACACGACUUAGUGACUUUCACUUUCACUUUUCUGUUUCUUCGAGCUUCCUAGUUGUCACUAGAGUAAAGAACUCACUGCAAAUGCAGAUAGAUAUAAGAGAUGCAGGUUCGACGCCUGGAUCAGGAAGAUCUCCUGGAGGAGAGCACAGCAACCCAUUCCAGUAUUCUUGCCUAGAGAACCCCAUGGAUGGAGGAGCCUUACUCUAGAUGAGGGGGGAAAAAAGUUGGAGAUUUCACUGAGGCAAAGCACUGUUAUUUCAAAGUCCACUGAAGCAGAGAUGUAGCUUGACCCCACACAGUGUGAUACCCAAGACAGCCUCGGAGAACAUCCUGUUCGAAGAUCGUGAGAUCCUUACUAUAGGCAUUCUGACAUUGAAGGAGAAAAUGCUGGAAUGAGACACAUAUAUGCAAAUGGACUGUGCAUGAGCGUGGGCAGAGGCCUACUCCACACCUUGGUGUCAACUACAGAGAAGGGCCCCUUCUCUGAUCAGAAGCAGAUCCCACACCAGAGCACAUGAUUUGGAUUUCCCAAACUGGCGAAUGUUUGAGAGUCACACUUGGUGAAGAGGGCUGGGUGUAAGUGCACCUUUCUACACUGAUGCUGAAGAUUGCAAAGUCUCCCAACUAUUCCCAGGGCUGGACCUCUUCAAUCCCACAGACCUGGGCCUGAAGAUCACCUGCAGGAAGCAACAAGGAGUAAGAUAGCAGGACAAAGAGUGAUUUGAGUUUCUGCUAAUAAAGCUGCUGCUGCUGCUGCUGCUGCUAAGUCGCUUCAAUCGUGUCCGACUCUGUGCGACCCCAUAGCCCACCAGGCUCACCCAUCCCUGGGAUUCUCCAGGCAAGAACACUAGAGUGGGUUGCCCUUUCCUUC
Bos taurus (domestic cattle) is the source of this 1102-nucleotide long non-coding RNA. NCBI's taxonomy places the organism in Eukaryota, Metazoa, Chordata, Mammalia, Artiodactyla, Bovidae. The record is from Ensembl.